CAGUCGCGUUUGCUGGGACUCAACCUUGCUUUUGCCUGGUGUACUUCUCAGUAAAUGGGCCAGCAUCAAUUUCGGGCGCCGGAAAAGGAUUUGAGGAAUGUGACAGCUUGCUGUGUUAUAGCCUCUUGUCGUACACGGUGCUUGGGAUUGAGGUUUCAGUGCACGCUUCGGUUGUGCUUUGAUGCUGGCGUAAUGGCUUUAAGCGACCCGUCUUGAAACCGGACCAAGGAGUCUAACAUAUAUGCG
RNAcentral lists this ribosomal RNA (246 nucleotides) under Pacispora scintillans. The record is from RNAcentral. Lineage: Eukaryota; Fungi; Glomeromycota; Glomeromycetes; Diversisporales; Pacisporaceae.